GCAGCACGAUUUUUGACGGCUCGAAAUUCUUUUGCACACAAAAAAAUAUUACCGUAAUGACAAAAGUAACUUAUUUUUGAUUUAAAAAGUUGCUUAAAUUAGCUUGAGGGAAAGUUUUUUUCUUGUUUAAAAUAUGAAAACUUUUACUGAAUUUCUUUCAUUUUGACGUUUUCGUGUAACCGUGUAAGACUAAGUUCCAAAUGUAAACAAACACUUUGGUGGGUCCGGUGGUGCUGGUGAUUCUAGGCAGCAGCCAGGAAUCGGACGCGGAAACCUUCGUGAGCCAAACAGCAGCAGCGGAACGCCUUCGAAGGAGGGUGGUGCGGGUGCGGGACGAGGUGAAGUGCUCAAAAAGGACAAGGCGAGCUUCCUGCAGGAACUGCAGCUGUUCCACGACCGGAAUGGGAUGGGAGGUAGGAAUGUGGAUUCGCACCGGUUGUAUUCGGUGGUGGUGGCCCGGGAUUGGUGAUUGAAGGUCAAUUCCCGCGAGGACUGUAACGAGAUCAUCGAGGAGAUGGCGCUGCCGAAGAGUUGCGUGAACAACGAGAUUGCGUUGAAGAAGAUAAACAUCCGGUUUUUGGACAAGUACGAGACAGGUGAUUUUCACGGUGAGGAGAAGGAGCUGACGAAGAGGAGGACGUCGAGAAGCGGGAAGGUAGCCAGAGCGGAUGUUAUACUCGGUGCCGGCGGUUUACAACUCCUGUGAGUAUUGAGAAUGUGUACAGUGGCU
This is a long non-coding RNA of Culex pipiens pallens (northern house mosquito), 730 nucleotides long. RefSeq lists it as uncharacterized. The transcript has 3 exons. The record is from RefSeq and is a predicted model, not a curated record. Lineage: Eukaryota; Metazoa; Arthropoda; Insecta; Diptera; Culicidae.